RNAcentral lists this ribosomal RNA (484 nucleotides) under uncultured bacterium. Its description in RNAcentral is "partial 16S ribosomal RNA". It matches the Rfam family "Bacterial small subunit ribosomal RNA", at positions 28 to 523 of the family's 1533-position model. The record is from RNAcentral.
GAUGAACGCUGGCGGCGUGCCUUACACAUGCAAGUCGAACGGACUUACAUUGAAGCCUAGCGAUAUGUAAGUUAGUGGCGGACGGGUGAGUAACGCGUGGGUAACCUGCCUUGUACUGGGGGACAACAGUUGGAAACGACUGCUAAUACCGCAUAAGCGCACAGCUUCGCAUGAAGCAGUGUGAAAAACUCCGGUGGUACAAGAUGGACCCGCGUCUGAUUAGCUGGUUGGUGAGGUAACGGCCCACCAAGGCGACGAUCAGUAGCCGGCCUGAGAGGGUGAACGGCCACAUUGGGACUGAGACACGGCCCAAACUCCUACGGGAGGCAGCAGUGGGGAAUAUUGCACAAUGGGGGAAACCCUGAUGCAGCAACGCCGCGUGAGUGAAGAAGUAUUUCGGUAUGUAAAGCUCUAUCAGCAGGAAAGAAAAUGACGGUACCUGACUAAGAAGCCCCGGCUAACUACGUGCCAGCAGCCGCGGUAA